CUGCACCUGCAGCAUAUGGAAUUUCCCAGGCCAGAGGUCAAAUUGGAGCUGCAGCUGCCAAUCUAAGCCACAGCCAUAGCAACACCAGAUCCUAGCAGCAAUGCCUGACCCUUAACCUGCCCAUUGAGGCCAGGGAUCGAACCCAAAUCCUCACAGACACUAUGUCAAGUUCUUAACCUGCUGAGCCACAACAACAGAAACUCCUGACUUAUAGAUUUUAUUUUAUAUUAGACAUAAUAGCCAUUUCCCUUUCAGUGAUUAUAAUCUACUUUAAAGUUUUUAUGUUUACUACUUUUUUUAUUGAGGUAUAGUCAAUUUACAUUGUGUGUUAGUUUCUAAGAUACAGCAAAGUGAUACAUUUAUAUAUAUAUAUUCUUUUUCAUAUUCUUUUCCAUUAUGGUUUAUCUCAGGCUACUGAAUAUAGUUCCCUGUGGUGUGCAGAAGGAUCUUGUUGUUUAUCUAUUUUAUAUAGAGUAGUGUGUAUCUGUUAAUCCCAAACUCCUAAUUUAUCCCUCCCCCACCCCCUUUCCUCUUUGGUAACAAUGAGUUUGUUUUCUAUUAGUGAGUCUGUUUCUGUUUCAUAAAUACAUUCAUUUGUGUCGUAUUUUAGAUUCCACAUAUAAAUUAAAUUUUAUGGUAUUUGUCUUUCUUUUCCUGACUGACUUAGUAUGGUAAUCUCUAGGUCUAUCCAUGUUGCUGCAAAUGGCAUUAUUUCAUUCUUCUUUAAGGCUGAGUAAUAUUCCAUUGUGUAUAUGUACCACAUCUUUAUCCAUUCCCCUGUUAAUGGACAUUUAAGUUGUUUCCAUGUCUUGGCUAUGGUGAGUAGUGCUGUUAUGAACAUUGGACUGCGUCCUUUUUUUCAAAUUAUCAUUUUUUCCGGAUAUAUGCCCAGGAGUAGGGUUGCUGUAUCAUAUGGAAACUCUAUAUUUAGUUUUUAAAGGAACCUCUAUACUGUGUUCCAUCGUGGCUGCACCAAUUCAUAUUCCUACCAGCAGUGUAGGAGGAUUCCCUCUUCUCCACUCCCUCUCCAGCGUUUAUUAUUAGACUUUUUAAUGAUGUCCAUUCUGACCAGUGUGAGCUUGUAUCUCAUUGUCAUUUUGCCGUGCCUUUCUCUAAUAAUUAGCGAUACUGAACAUCUUUUCAUGUGCCUACUGGCCAUCAGUAUGUCUUCUUUGGAGAAAUGUCUGUUUAGACUUUAUGCCCAUUUUUUGAUUGUGUUAUUUGUUUUUUGUUGUUGUUGUUGUUAUUGAGUUGUAUGAGCUGUUUGUGUAUUUUGGAAAUUAAUCCCUUGUCAAUCAUAUCAUUUGCAAAUAUUUUCUCCCAGUCUGUAGGUUGUCUUUUCAUUUUAUUUAUGGUUUCCUUUGCUGUGUAAAAGCUUAUCAGUUUAUUUAGGAACCAUUUGUUUAUUUUUGCUUUUAUUUCUACUGCCUUGGGAGACUGACCUAAGAAAACACUGGUGGAGUUCCUGUCGUGGCUCAGUGGUUAAUGAAUCCGACUAGGAACCAUGAGGUUGCAGGUUCGGUCCCUGCCCUUGCUCAGUGGGUUAAGGAUCUGUUUUUGUUGUGUAAUAGAUGAAACAUAUGGAAGUUCAUAUGUGACACUGAUGUAAAUUAAGAAGCACAAAAAUAAACACCUGUGAAUCUAUAACCUAAGAUGAGGAAAUAACAUAUUAUAAACAUCACUGAAGACCCUAGUGUAUAUGCUCUGCAGCAUGCCUCCAACACUUUAUUUAAUAUAGUAAAUAAAUAUUAAUAUAGUUCCCCAUGUUAGCAGGAAGACAACAGAAGGUCGUAAAGAACGUAGGCUCUGGAUUAAAAUUCUACCCUUUCCACUUGUUAUAUGCAUAAGAUUAGGCAAAUGACUUCAUUUCUCUAUACCUUUCCCAAUCUUCAUCUGUAAAAUGGGAUUAAAUUGUAUUCAUCUUGUAGAGUUUGAUGAUUACAUGAGAUAUGCAACACUUUUUGUAAUAAGGGAAACCUGGAGCUUGAAAACAAUGUAAUACAAAUAUUCAUUAACAAGGGACAAGUCAAAAAAAUUGGUAAACGCAAAUGACUUCUGUUGAGCACAUACAAAAGAGAUCGGAUGUAUGGUUACUUAAGGUAGGAGGUGGGGGGAGGAGGAAUUGGAUGAAGGUGAUUAGAAGAUACAGACGUCCAGUGAGAAGAUAAAGAAGUACUAGGGAUAUAAUAUACAGUGAUAAAUAUAAUUAACACUGCUAUGUGUUAUAUAUGAAAGUUGUUAAGAGAGUAAAUCGUAAGUGUUCCCAUCACAAGGAAAAAUUUUUUUUUCUACUUUUAUUUCGUGUCUGCCUGAGAUGAUAGAUGUUCACCAAACUUCCUGCAGCAAUCAUCUCAGGAUGUAUGUAAGUCAAAUCAUGACGCUGUACACCUUAAACUUACACAGUGCUGAAUGUCAAUUAUCUCAAUGACAUUGGAAGAAAAGGGAAUUCUCAUUGUGGCUCAGUGGUUAACGAACCCGACUAGUAUCCACGAUGACGAGGGUUCAAUCCCUGGCCUCCAUCAGUGGGUUAAGGAUCCAGCAUUGCUGUGAGGUGCAGUGUAGGUCUCGGACGUGGCUCUGAUUCAUCCCCUAGCCUGGGAACUUCCAUACGCCAAGGGUGCGGCCCU
This 2627-nucleotide long non-coding RNA is filed under the name Sus scrofa (pig). Its description in RNAcentral is "lncRNA (ENSSSCG00055014493.1)". Lineage: Eukaryota; Metazoa; Chordata; Mammalia; Artiodactyla; Suidae. The record is from RNAcentral.